RNAcentral lists this unclassified non-coding RNA (250 nucleotides) under plant metagenome. RNAcentral's name for it is "partial contains small subunit ribosomal RNA, internal transcribed spacer 1, and 5.8S ribosomal RNA". The record is from RNAcentral.
GUAGGUGAACCUGCGGAAGGAUCAUUCACAAUAAAUGUUCAGUGGUUUUGUGUACAUUUGCAUUGGUUUUUUGUCAGACCCGGGCUCUUGGAGCUUGGGCUUGACAAAGCACUCGUGCGUUUGUAUCUUUUCCACUGGCACGACUUUUGUUGUGCACCUUUGUGCAAAGUAAAUAACUUUACUCAAUUUUAUAACUUGACUGAAAAUUUUUCAUUAUUUUAAUUGAACAUUGAACGAUAACUUUUGUUGC